GGGGCUGUAGUUAAAAAUAACGUCUAAUUUGCAAUUAGAAAGUGCUCCUAACCGAGCCUUCCUCA
Molecule: transfer RNA, 65 nt
Filed under: Triatoma infestans
Lineage: Eukaryota; Metazoa; Arthropoda; Insecta; Hemiptera; Reduviidae
Description: tRNA-Ala
Rfam family: tRNA
About the family: Transfer RNA (tRNA) molecules are approximately 80 nucleotides in length. Their secondary structure includes four short double-helical elements and three loops (D, anti-codon, and T loops). Further hydrogen bonds mediate the characteristic L-shaped molecular structure. tRNAs have two regions of fundamental functional importance: the anti-codon, which is responsible for specific mRNA codon recognition, and the 3' end, to which the tRNAs corresponding amino acid is attached (by aminoacyl-tRNA synthetases). tRNAs cope with the degeneracy of the genetic code in two manners: having more than one tRNA (with a specific anti-codon) for a particular amino acid; and 'wobble' base-pairing, i.e. permitting non-standard base-pairing at the 3rd anti-codon position.
Source: RNAcentral